Long non-coding RNA from Salvia splendens (bonfire salvia), 1739 nucleotides. RefSeq lists it as uncharacterized. Lineage: Eukaryota; Viridiplantae; Streptophyta; Magnoliopsida; Lamiales; Lamiaceae. The record is from RefSeq and is a predicted model, not a curated record. The transcript is spliced from 2 exons.
UGGCCCAAAUUUAGAAGGUGUACUCCCUUCCGUCAGCCGUUUCUCUCCCUCAUUUCCCCAAUUUCUCUCCACUUUCCUUUUCCAAAAUUGAAAUGGAGAGGAGAACCCUAGCUCUUCGACAAUCCUCUCUCGCCAUCACACGCCGUUCCGCCAUCCCCGACGAGUCGGAGUCCCUGUCGUUCGAGACUCGUCGUCUCCCCUCUGGGGCCGUAAGGCCUGGCUGUGUUCGCCUCCGACCGAUUUCAUCCCCCCCGAAUGGAGAGGACCGAAACCCCACUUGCACGGCUGCUCGAGCUCGAACGCCAUCACUCUCUUUUCGCCGGCGAGGUCCUUCUUCGCUCGGAACCCGUCAUCGCACUACGAACGUCGCCGCCCGUUGACGCCGCACGGUCGGGAUCCCGCUGCCUCCCAGCGGGGUGGAAUGGCCGCUGUUGCAACGAGAUGCUGCCGCCCUGUCCCGACUUCUCGAAGGUCAGAACUGUCGUCUGCAGCGUUGUUCAACCCGAUGACGCCGUUGGCUGCUCGCGGCGACGGCUCCAGCUCUCAUGGCCGCCGUCGUCUCAAGCUGGCGCAACCUCCGCCGCAUUCCUUCUUAAAGCUAAGUCUUUACUUCCUAUUACCCAUUUCAUUCUAUUGAAGUUUGUAUAGAAUGUAGUAGUGCUAGUGUACUGAAUUGAGGCAUGUUUAAACGGUCAAAAAUUUGGUUAUUUCCUUGUUGAUUUCUGGGGAAAUGUUGGUAUCUGAUAGCUCUGUCACUGAGCUCCUACUCCCUAUGCUUCUAACGGCAGGGGUGUGUGGAAGUUGCACUACCUCUUCUUACUCUAUUAUUUUACCUCAAAGUGCAUGGUGCCGGUCUAAUAUGCUUCAUGAUGAUAUGGGUUUAAAAUAAGAUUCGAAGGGGGUUUUACCUUCGCUGCAGCGUAUCUUGUUGUUCCUUGCUCUCAGCUUUGAUCCCCUUCACUCCCUCUCGCUGCCUGAGUCCUUCUCACUCUGUGACUCACUGUAUGCGAUUGUGUUUGUGAUGAUGAGGGAGGGAGAGGCUGAGGUCUAUUUAUGCUUGUGGCCUAACUGAAAGCCUGUAAAAAGGCUGGUAUCUCUGGUUGGAAAGUAGUCCUUGAUGGACUGGUUUGGCUGUUACCUCUGCAGCAAUUUCGCAGGGUGUACUCGUGAGUUAUGGUGGCUGCCACAGAGCUCCAGUCUCUGGCUGCUCUUUAUGCUGCCAUUUUAACUGAUUUUGAUGGCAUAUGGGGGUGUACUCGGGGUUUAUUUAUUGCUUUUGUUGGUUUAUGCCAGGUGCACCACAAUUGACUGAUUCUCCAUAACAGUAUGGCAGGUACAAGUGAAGUACGAGCUGCAGGGAUUCGGCCUUGCAGAGUGCAGCCACUGAGAUGAAAUUCUGUUGGCUGACUUGCUUCUCUCGGCCCAGCUCCCACUCACUUUUCUGAAAGGAGCUGAGGCUGCUACCGAGGCUGCCCUUCCUCGCGGUCUUGCCCUCUCGGCUUGUCUGAAAAUACUGGGGCCGAGACGGCCUAGUGAUGAAGAUCAACUUAGUUGCUAGGGACCUCGAGUUGUAAUAGCGUAGUUCGACCUCAAAUUUCUUUUAACUUAGUAUGCAAAGCUCGAUACUAGUUGGUGUGUCUUUCUUUGUAACUUACUAGCUUGAAAUUCUUUACAUUGUAUCUAUUUAUUUUCAUUCACGAAAAGUCUAUUAAUGUAUUUCUUUUCCUUUAUUUCCAUCA